UGUAAUUGGAAUGAUGGGAAUUUAAACCUCUUCCAGAGUAUCAAUUGGAGGGCAAGUCUGGUGCCAGCAGCCGCGGUAAUUCCAGCUCCAAUAGCGUAUAUUAAAAUUGUUGCAGUUAAAAAGCUCGUAGUUGAAUUUCUGCUGCAUUGUUUCUUCUCAUGUCGAGUGAUUCAUUGUGGCUUAUUUCGGAUUGUUUUUUACUUUCCGGAUGAUUACUUUGAGAAAAUUAGAGUGCUCAAAGCAGGCUUUUGCCUUGAAUAGUUUAGCAUGGAAUAAUAAAGUAGGACUUUGGUUCUAUUUUGUUGGUUUUAGGUACCAAAGUAAUGGUUAAUAGGAACAGUUGGGGGCAUUCGUAUUUAACUGUCAGAGGUGAAAUUCUUAGAUUUGUUAAAGACGAACUACUGCGAAAGCAUUUGCCAAGGAUGUUUUCAUUAAUCAAGAACGAAAGUUAGGGGAUCGAAGACGAUCAGAUACCGUCGUAGUCCUAACCAUAAA
This 495-nucleotide ribosomal RNA is filed under the name Theileria sp. RNAcentral's name for it is "SSU rRNA". It matches the Rfam family "Eukaryotic small subunit ribosomal RNA", at positions 504 to 1036 of the family's 1831-position model. Lineage: Eukaryota; Apicomplexa; Aconoidasida; Piroplasmida; Theileriidae. The record is from RNAcentral.